UGGGGAAUAUUGGACAAUGGGCGCAAGCCUGAUCCAGCCAUGCCGCGUGUGUGAAGAAGGCCUUUUGGUUGUAAAGCACUUUAAGCGAGGAGGAGGCUACUUGGAUUAAUACUCUAGGAUAGUGGACGUUACUCGCAGAAUAAGCACCGGCUAACUCUGUGCCAGCAGCCGCGGUAAUACAGAGGGUGCGAGCGUUAAUUGGAUUUACUGGGCGUAAAGCGUGCGUAGGCGGCUUCUUAAGUCGGAUGUGAAAUCCCUGAGCUUAACUUAGGAAUUGCAUUCGAUACUGGGAAGCUAGAGUAUGGGAGAGGAUGGUAGAAUUCCAGGUGUAGCGGUGAAAUGCGUAGAGAUCUGGAGGAAUACCGAUGGCGAAGGCAGCCAUCUGGCCUAAUACUGACGCUGAGGUACGAAAGCAUGGGGAGCAAACAGG
This 430-nucleotide ribosomal RNA is filed under the name bacterium. Its description in RNAcentral is "partial 16S ribosomal RNA". It matches the Rfam family "Bacterial small subunit ribosomal RNA", at positions 355 to 776 of the family's 1533-position model. The record is from RNAcentral.